Molecule: long non-coding RNA, 235 nt
Filed under: Setaria viridis
Lineage: Eukaryota; Viridiplantae; Streptophyta; Magnoliopsida; Poales; Poaceae
Description: long non-coding RNA (SVIR_LNC009926)
Source: RNAcentral
GAAAACAAACCGGAGGUGGUGGGUCUUAGAAAACAUAGGCUUGGCUCUGCCAUGCAUAGGCAUCUGGCCGCUGCCCCACGUCGUCACUAAAUGUAGUGCAGGCGACAAAUUUUACAUCUGGUGUUUGAUGCAGAUGGAUGAGGGGAAUUGGUCCCAAUACGAUUUUCAUCUGUGUGAGGGAUGGUAUGGCCUGCAGAGGCCCAAGGCAUGCUCUUGUUCCCCCCACCCCCAUAUU